Monodelphis domestica (gray short-tailed opossum) is the source of this 1952-nucleotide long non-coding RNA. The record is from Ensembl. NCBI's taxonomy places the organism in Eukaryota, Metazoa, Chordata, Mammalia, Didelphimorphia, Didelphidae.
GAUUGUCAAUGAACUCCAUCUAGUGAUAGGCAUUAAAUUUGCAGUCAAGAAGCUCCACAUUCCCAACAGAAAGGGAGCCUCCGCGUGGGCUUCCCUGAGAGGAUAAAGCAAAAUUCUUUGAAAGGCCGUGUCCAACUGGUGGGCCUUAUUCCCCAUUUUGGAGGAAAUGUUCUCACUGAGAAAACUAGAAGAAUGUACUCCAGCAAAUUCUCUCCGAGACUCAAAUAAUCAGGGACAUUUUUUCAUAUCAUUGGUCCGUAAAUGUUCUGCAGUGUUAGUCAAUGGGCCAGCCUCCCUGGGUCGCAAGAUGCUCAGCAACUCUGUAAACAAGGGCUUGGGAACAGUCCCUGUAAAAGCCUCCUAUCACUCCCUGCCAAAGAAUCCCAUUUGCCUCUGGUGCUAAGAAGGCUCAUUUGCUUAGCUAUCAGCAACCUGGAGAACAUUAGUUACAGUUUGGGUAAGCCAAGACCAGGAAGAAACAUCUAAUCCUCCGACCGACCGAAAGGAGGGGUGAAAGAAAACAGAAAUUUCCCCAAAGCGCCUCUACAAAAUGCCGGAGAAUUUGACGACUCUGGAAAUCUGCCUCAUUCAAAUCCAAGUCAUUCUGGAGUCAAGACAUCAAACUGUGAGGCCACUGAUUCCUGUCAAAAACAAAGGACCAACAGGUCUUCCUCUGGAUGUGGAUAGCAUUCUUUCUCAUAUGUCCCUCCGAAUAGUUCUGGAUAACUGCAUUGCUACAGUAGAGAAGUCCAUUACAUUCAAUUUUACCACAGUAUAUCAAUCUCUGUGUACAAUGUUCUCUUGGUUCUGCUCCUUUCACUAUACAUCAAUUCCUGAAGGUUGUUCCAGUUCACAUGGGAUUCCUCCACUUUAUUAUUCCUUUAAGCACAAUAGUAUUCCAUCACCAACAGAUAAGAUACCAUAAUUUGUUCAGCCAUUCCCCAAUUGAAGGGCAUCCCUUCAUUUUCCAAUUUUUUUUGCCACCACAAAGAGUGCGGCUAUGAAUAUUCUUCUACAUCUUUUUCCUUAUUAUUUCUUUGGAGUACAAACCCAGCAGUGCUCUGCCUGGAUCAAAGGGCAGCUAGUCUUUUAGUGCCCUUUGGGCAUAGUUCCAAAUUGCCUUCCAGAAUGGUUGUAUCAAUUCACAACUCCACCAGCAAGGCAUUAAUGUCCCAAUUUUGCCACAUCCCCUCCAACAUUUGUUACUUUCCUUUGCUGUCAUGUUAGCCAAUCUGCUAGGUGUGAGGUGAUACCUCAGAGUUGUUUUGAUUUGCAUUUCUCUGAUUAUAAGAGAUUUAGAACAUUUUUUCAUGUGCUUAUUAAUAGUUUUGAUUUCUUUAACUGAAAAUUGCAUAUUCAUGUACCAUGCCCAUUUAUCAAUUGGGGAAUGGCUUGAUUUUUUGUACAAUUGAUUUAGCUCCUUAUUUGAGUGAUUAGACCUUUGUCAGAGGUUUUUGUUAUAAAGAUUAUUUCCCAAUUUGUUGCUUCCCUUCUAAUUUUGAUUGCAUUGGUUUUAUUUGUACAAAACCUUUUUAAUUUAAUGUAAUUAAAAUUAUUUAUUUUGCAUUUUGUAAUUUUUUUCCAACUCUUGCUUGGUCUUAAAAUCUUUCCUUUCCCAAAGAUCUGACAAGUAUACUAUUCUGUAUUCACCUAAUUUACUUAUAGUUUCUGAAGGGUGAGACUUUUAUUCAAGGUGUCUUCCUAAACAAAGUUCUAGUUGGCCAACUGACUCCAAAUUGAAGAUGGUUGAUUAAGGAUAGUUGAUUUGGAAAUGAUUGUGUCUGCUUAGUGUAUACCUGAACAUCAAUAUAUUUAAGCUGGACCUAUAAAGGUACAGUAAGCAUAAAUCCAAAGAGACACAGAACUGAGAUGGAUUGAAAGAAGCCAGGCCAAUAUAUAUAUAUAUAGACUCUGGUUUCCUGGAAUAAAGUUUGAAGGUAGUGGUCCCUUCA